This is a non-coding RNA of Callithrix jacchus (white-tufted-ear marmoset), 10095 nucleotides long. The record is from RefSeq and is a predicted model, not a curated record. NCBI's taxonomy places the organism in Eukaryota, Metazoa, Chordata, Mammalia, Primates, Cebidae.
UCAUCUCUGGAUUUACUCUAAUUUUUUUAAUCUUUGCAUGAAUCAUUUAAUUUUUCCAAUGUGAAUCAUUGUAUUCUUUCUGAAUGCUCUGGUGUUGCUUCAUUCAGCCUUCCAAAAGCUCGCAAAUAAAGCAGACAAAAUAGAAUUAUCUUUAUGCUGGGAGAGGCUACAGCUCCACCUUCAUUAACAUGUUUUCCAGCAAUAUAUUCAAUCGACACAUAUUUAAUAAACACCUACUAUAUUCUAAGCAUUGAUUCUGCCGUAGGCUCGGUCAGAUUUAAAGUGCAUGUUCCUAGGUAAUUAUAUCUUGAAGUCCACCCUCUGUGUCUCUACUCUGUAUAGGAUACUCUGUAUCCUAACAUGGUUUGACAGAAGGAAGGGUCUAUUUCUCUUUUCUCACAGCUGGGUUAAUGCUGUACAAGUAUGCACGCUUGCAUUCACACACACACACACACACACACACACACACAGACACACACACAAACCCCUGAUAGUGGCAGAGGGUCUUCAGCAUCGAAUGGCAUUUACCAUCUUUUUGUCCUCACUUGCAACUUACAUGCAGCAACGGCCACCCCACGAUUUAGAACCUAGAAUAUAACCCAAGAGACAGUUUAUGAGUUCAAGUUGUUUAUUUGGGAGAUGAAUUUGUACUAAAAUCUCUAUUAAAAAUGCCAAAUUAGGAUUGAUUCACAACACAUUACGAAGUGUUUCCUUUCCCCAUUUUUUCAUGUCCCUGUUUAUGAUUGUUAUAUAGACCAGCCCCUAAAAUUUCCCUCAAUUCCCAGUUGAUUUAUUCUAUUUUCUUUCUCUUUUCACUGUGAACAAAAGAGCUCAAGCCCCACAGCCAAGCUCAGAAGGCCUUAGGUGCACCCCUCACAGUUAAUUCACCAAAACAUGAAGAAGCUAGGACAUAUACCCACCAAUUCCCAUCACUCAUUGGUUGAGGCUUUCUGCUGAGGCACUAGCUCCUUAACACUUCCAACUUGUGCAAUCUAUUAGCCAAGGAUUCUCCUGUGGCCAGAAAGCAUCCUCAGGCAGAAAUUAAAAAACUUUUUAUGUGAAUAGAGAUUUUUCCCAAACGAUCUCUGAAGAAGGCUAAGGGCUACAUCCUAACACUCAACAUGUCAAGAAAGGUUACAUUCCAUCUGUAAGUAACAUACACAGAAGAGUCAGGUAAACUGAUUUCCAUAAAACUACCUAUGCACUAGGAAUUACAGAUCUUUAACUGUCAAACCUCAAGGCACCCCCUUGCCUAACUCUGAGACUUAUGUGAGAACAUAAUUAAAGCUUGACUCAUCCUCAAAUGGAAGGACCCAGGAACAAAGCCUAUGCCAGCCCUAGAAUUGGGCUUAGAAACAUUUGGGCCAGGAAUUCUAGGGUGCUGGAUGUAGUCUAAAAAGUGUAUGUUGCUUUCAGUUCGGCAUAUGCUGUAGGCCCAACAGAUUUCUCCUUGUGUAGGAGACACAACCAGGAAAAGGCCAGAGUUAAGACCUCUAAAGCAUGAGACCCAAGGCAAGCACUUCUCUUGCCUAGAUCCAGGACAGUACUGUUUCCAAACAUACGCUGCUGGAUAAUUUCAAAAAUAUUAAAUAAUGUAGUAUUGUCCCUAUUUUAUAUGGUUUGGAUGUUUGUUCUAUCCAAAUCUCAUGUUGAAAUGUGAUUCUCAAUGUUGGAGGUGAGGCCUGGUGGGAGGUGAUUGAAUCACUGGGGUAGAUUCCUCAUAAAUGGUUUAGCGCCAUCCCCUUUGUGAUAAGUGAGUUCUUGCUCAGUUAGUUCACAUCUGACCUGGUUGUCGAAAUGUCCGAGACCUCCUUUCUCUCUCUGUCUCUUGCUCCCAUUCUGAUCAUGUGACAUGCUGGCUUUCCCUUUGCCUUCCACCAUGAGUAAGAGCUCCCUGUGGCCGUCAACGGAAGCUGAGCAGAUGCCAGCACUAUUCUUCCUGUACAGCCUGUCAAACUGUGAGCUAAUUAAACCUCAGUUUUUAAAAAUCAAUUGCCCAGCCUCAGGUAUUUCUUUACAGCAGCUCAAGAAUAGACUAAUAUACCAUCUGAUCUUUCAUUUACUCAAAAGUCAAGCCUUUCUGUGUUCCAUGCCUCAGAGAAUAAAAGCAGUAAGGUGGAAAGCUGAAAGUUUGUGAAUCUCUUCCUGUCUUUUCUCAUUCAAAAGUCUAAACACUCAGAGGAAUGGAAAGGAUUCCAGUUAUGGACAAAGUGUUGAGAGAAAUCAUGAAGCAAAACAACCUCUGCCUGAUCUGGGAAAAAUAAACAGACAUGGAGGAUGUAUCAAAAAUAUAAGUGUGAGAGGUUCCUGAGAAAGGAAUUUAGCCUCUUCAUGCAAAACACCGAAGAAAGAAUGAGACCCCAGAGGGACCACAGUCAACCUUAGCAAGUUGUACUCAGGCAGCUUGAAUAAAUUCCUAUAUUCUAAUGUGGCAUGGAAACAACAAAAACAUUCCAGGAUUCCCAAGGCUGAAACAGACAAAGCAGUGAGAACUAUUGAAUUUAAAUGGACUAGGAGGACAGCACCAAGGUAGGGUGGUGGAUGUCUCAGUAGAGGCUGCAAAGAAAGAUGACAUUGACGUUCUCCUUCUGGCAUAUCUUGGCACUAUGUCUUUGCUACCCUGCUGGAGGAGAAGGUAGAGUUGACCUCAUUUUUCCAGCUGAAGGACCUAAUAUAUGAUAGAGCCCAACCAGGAUCAGUUCAGCCCGCCAGCCAAGCAGCAGAUGACAGCCCCGCUGGGCAAGCCCCCAGCUAAGGAAGCAGAGCUGGACCAAAGCAGCAGAACUUUCAAGCCAAUCUGCAAACUUGCAGAAGGAUCAGCAUCUAUCCAGCAGCAACUCUCCUCACAGCAGAUCACCAGAAUGCCAGAGCCAAGCCUAACUGCACAAGUUCCACUAUGGCCUCUGCCUCACAUCUGCUAAUAUAUCAUUGACCAAAUAUGGAUUUUUUUUUUAAAGAAGUUAAAAAUAUACAUUUUUCCAUUUAAACUUAUAACUUUCUAGACACUUUUUAAGGUAGUGUUUACGGGUUGGAGGAUUUCAGUGGACUCUCCAAGCUACUAGGGCAAAAUCAAUUAAUGUAAGUACCCCAAGGCCAUGCUUAGGUGUCUGCUAAUCCUGGCUCUCCAGCAGGGGACAGCUGUCAUUUUUGUUAGAGGGUAGAACACUUUGUAUCCAAAGCCACUCUUUUGACUCAGAGUUCUAGAUUUAAGAUAAUUAACGCUCCCCCACUCCCCGCCUUUUUAAAAAUUUUGUGUAAAGUUUUAAACUAUCGUGUUCUGUUAUAUAAAUGUCCACCCGGGUGCAGGAAAAAAAACAUAGCAAUCAUUAACUCUAUUAGUCAGCCAUUGUUGUAAAAAUGUUAUGUAACAAAUAUCCAAAUAACUUACAACAAUUCUUAAUAUCACAUUUUAUUUUGGGGGGCUGGCUAAUCUAGGCUGGGCUCAGCUGAAUGGUUGUGCUUUAGGCUGUGACACAGCUAAACUAUGGCUUACAUUCAGGUCCUCUCCCUCUGUGUUUUUUUUGCUGAGAUUCGGGUAGAAGGAGCAGCAUCUAUCCAGCAGCAGCUCUCCUCACAGCAGGAUACAAGAGCCAAGCCUAACUGCACAAGUUCCACUGAGGCCUCUGUUUGCCUAGCAUCUGCUAACAUAUCAUUGAGCAAAGCAAGUCACAAGGCCAAGCACACGCUCAAAGGACAAGAAGGACACUCCACCAGCAAUAGAAAGGGGAAAGAAGUGAAUGAUUACUGAAAUUAACCCCAACUCUCAUAUCCUAGAGGUCUUUUUGAAAAGCUGAGUUCCUUUCUAAAUCAGCCCCAAACAACCUCUCUCUGAGGCCCCACUGGCUACCCCUGGAGCUGCUGAACUCUGUGGAUUCUUGGACAUCACCCCAAGUGGAUUUUGGCCUGCCAUGAGUGAAACACGGGGUGAGUGGUAGCCAAUGCAGAAGAUUUGGAACUCUCAGGACAAGUGCUCUAAAUUAGGAACAAAGCAUUCCACGGACUACGUCAAAACUUUAAAAAUAAGCCUUGCUCCAUACACAGCUAAUGACCUUGCUGAACACAUUUUAAAAAUGCCUCAUUUAAGAUGUUUAAGUAAUUACUGAGGAGCAGUGACCUUAAGGUUUUUCCAUCCCAUCUGUGCCCUGCCUCUCAGGCCUCUCUUUCCCUUCAUUGCCAUGGGUCCUGGUUCCCAUGCAGGCUGUUCUAAUGUAAGACAGCAAUCUAAUGUAAGAAAUCUACAAGUCAAUGGUGACUUUGGGUGGUUUCUUCACUAAGAAUAUUGCUUUAUUUACUCUGCUCUUUCGAUGCCUUCUAAGGACAAAGAAGCCAACUACUGUCACAGAGAGUAUUUCUUUAAGGCUGAGCCACAGGGGACCAGGGGAUAGAGAAUACCUAAAAUACUCUCUGACCACAAACCCCUUUAAAAUAUCCUUUUCUAAAAGAACAAUGGAACAAGGUGAACAUCCUGCAGAUUCAAGCCUGGGUAAAUCAAAAAGCCCCACAUGUUACCUGAUGUUAUGUAGGAGGUGAAAACCAGGGUGCAUGAAAACCUAGGAAGUAGAUAUUAAUCAGAAGUGGACUGAGAUAGGGGAUGGACUGAUCCAGGAUUCUAGACUUCUUAUUUGCUGUGUAACUCAAGAUAAUUGGACUACCUCAUGGUCAAUCUUGGUACAUGGUUACAUUCCAAGGAAACACAUGUCUCAUCAAACAAACUCACCAAGAAAUAUGAAAAUCUUCCAUGAAGACUCAGAGAUGUCAACGAUGGAGGCAAAUUUUAUUGCAUAACACAACACACUCUGUUAAAAUGCACACUUGGAAUGAAGAGACACCCCAAACAGGCUUUGCCUGAGCAACAUGGUUGUUUAUACACCUGGGUGCAGGUAGGCUGAGGCCAAAAAAGGUGUCAGCGAAGGGCAGUGGGACAGGAGUUGGUUUUAUAGGUUGGGGCAAAUCUUUUGGGGGGGCAGGGGUGUUAGGAGUAAGAUCAGUUACAGUGGUGGAGGUAGGGGCAAGGAGUAUACAUUACCAUAAGUUCAGUUACAAUGGCAGGUGGGGAAAGGUGUAAAAGUAGUUAAGAUGGUAGGGUGGGGCGGAGGGAUAUGGUGGCGGAGGGAUACUCACACAGCAAGAACAGUUAAGAUGGCCGGGUGGGGUGAGAAGCUCGAUGUCCAUGGAAGCUCCGCUGGGCAAUCAGGGAUAAUGGCAAAUGCAGGCGGGGGAGGUAGGGGAAGCCGGGUGGGGGGCAGUGGUGUGAUCAGAGUGGCACGCGGGACUUUAGACUUUCUGGGUCUGCCUGACAGUGAUUUGCCUGCCUUGGUAUUCCAGAGUGCUGGGAUUAUAGGCGUGAGUAACCACGCCGGCCUGAGAUAGGAUUUUUUUAAUUCCUGUUUUUACGGUUGAAGAAUAAAUGUUCAUAAAAACAAAGUAACUUGUCCAAAUGCAAACAGCAGUUAAGUGAUGGGAUUGGGGUUUGAAUCAAAGGCUUUAGGCCUCAAUUCUGUUUUUUUAACUGGAACAUGGCUGUGAAUACAAUGUCCAACCAGAGGAGCUCUGGACCCAAUGUGAGAGCAAGUGCUUGUCUGAGGUAUGGAAAUUGACCCAAGCAAGUGUAACCAAGGCGUACAUUCUACUAAUACAUAUUGACCGACUCUCUACUCUUGUGUAUUUGUUUAGAUCCCAGGUUGCUCUUUUUUUCCUUUUCUUUCUUUUUUUUUUUUUUAAGAGACAGGGAGUCUUGCUCUGUUGCCCAGGCUGAAGUGCAGUGGUGCAAUCAUUGCUCACUGUGGCCUCUACUUCCUGGUCUCAAGUGAGCAUCCUACCUUAGCCUCUUGAGUACCUAGGAGUCAUGCACCAACAUACCCAGCUAAGUAUUUUAUUUCUGGUAGAGAAAAGGUCUUGCUGUGCUGUUCAGGCUGGUCUCAAACUCCUGGCCUCAAGCAAUCCUUCUGCGUUGGCCUCCCUAUGUGUUGGGUCUACAGGUGUUAGCUGUUGCAUUUGGCCCCAGGUCUUUUUUAAAAAAUGAUUUUUGGAGAAACAAAUGGGAAAAAUGGAAAGAAAUAAAUUUGAGUAAAUAGUUGCUGUCAGAUGUAGGACUUCAAGAAGAUAGGGAAAAGGAGUGCAUCAGGCCUCCAUGUGCAAGCCCAGACCCAAAAAGUAUGAAGUCCUGCCUGCCUCAGCUGAUCACCUCCCCCCUUGCCCCCACCACCAUUCGCCAUUAUCCCUGAUUGUCCAGCGGAACUUCCCCAGGACAUUGAGCCCAUCGAGGACACCCUUUUCAGCCUCAGCCCACCUGCACCCAGGUAAAUAAAGAGCCAUGUUGCUCACACAAAGCCUGUUUGGGGAGUCUCUUCAUUCAAAACAUGUGUUUUAACAAUCACCAGGUCAGGAGUUCAAGACCAGCCUGGUCACUAUGGUGAAAACCCGUUUCUACUAAAAAUACAAAAUAAUUAGCCAGGCAUGGUGGCACAUGCCUGUAAUCCCAGGUACUCAGGAGGCUGAGGCAGGAGAAUUGCUUGAACCUGAGAGGCAGAGGUUGCAGUGAGCCGAGAUCGUGCCACUGCACUCCAGCCUGGACGACAGAGCGAGACUCCAUUCCAAAAAAAAAUCUACCCAAGUUACUCAAGGUAUCAUUAUCAGGAUUAAGUGAUAUCAUGGAAAUGAAAGCUGGACACAAGUGGGCACUAGGCAAGCCUGUGUGAAUUCUGAACAACAGUGAGGUUUAGAAAGUGCUUUGAUCACCUAGAUAGGCCAGUUUUUCAAAUCUCUCUUUUAUUUCUAUUCAUCCCCUAAAAUUAUAUUAAGGCUUUCUGACUGCUGUGGACUGAAUGCUCUACAGCCUGCCACAAAUUCACACAUUGAAACCUAAAUCCCCAAUGUGAUGGUAUUUGGAGGUUAGGACUUCUUUGGGAGGCAAUUAGGUCAUAAGAGUGGAGCCCUCAUAAUAGGAUUUGUGGCUUUAUAAGAAGAGACACGAUAGAGAUGAUUUCUCUCAGCCAAUGUGAGAAUACAGCAGGAAGGUGCCAUUUGCAAACCAGGAAGAGUCCCCUCGCAGACACCAAAUCUGCUGGCACCUGGAUCCUGGAAUCCAUCCCAGCCUCCAGAGCUAUUAGAAAUGAACAUUAGCCAUUUAAGCCACGCAGUCUAUGGUGUUUUAUCAUAAAAGCGUGAGCUAAGACUGACUCACAUAGUGCCAGUCCACUGAAGUGUAUUUGAAUAUCUAUAGUAGGACAUCCAGUGUUGGUUUCUUUUCCAUGUAUGAUGAAGGCAAGUUAGUUAAAAAGAUGAUGGAGGAUGCGUUGGGUUACCCUAGAUGAUCUUCUUUCAGGAAAGAACGACAAAUCCCCAGGAACCAGGUACCUGUUCUCUGAGAUGCUUCCUCCACCCCAGUCCCAUUCAUACAUUUGCCCCAUUGGUGGCUUUUAUAAACUUUACUGAGCUUUACUUUGUCUCUUCCUGCUUUUAUUGACUACUUAAACAGCGCCUAAAACAUCUGGUCCCCUGAGAGCUUUUACCAAGCUCUCUGGAGUACAGAUUAGAUUGUCAUUUGUCUAAUUUGUUGUCAAAUUCAAAAGAAGGUCUUCUAAACUGAGGGGAUUCAGGAAGUCACAUGGGUUUAUCUGUGAGCACCAACUGAGAGAGUAAAGGAGGUUGAGAUUAAGCCCUGAGUCAUGACGCUGGAUUGAAGCUCCUUGGAAGGGAUGUCUUCUUCUUAACUCAACUGCCUGGGGAAAUGCUUUUUUUUUUUUUUCCGGCGGUUCUCACAAAAGUCCUAUAGGUCCAGCUGCAGUCCUGAGGACUUUAGUUCACUUUUUGGUCGUUCAUCUGAGAAAAUCGAGAUUAAAUUUAUUAGAACUCCUUAGAGGAAAGAUAUUAUUAUACGGAUAAGAUCUAUAAUUGCUUUCAAGACUUUCCAUGGAAAUUAUUAUCUAUCCAAGAGAGAAAAAUCUCAGCUAAUGUCCACAGUCCAAGUUAAUAUAUUGAGUAAAGGGCCUCAGAAAAGGAAAAAGAAAUAUAUGCUAUUUAAAAACUACAAAAGUUAGUUUUCACAGGAGAUUCAAUCUGGUAGGUUGUCAAGAAUUGGUGGUUUUAUUUCAUUCACUUAAGUUAUUUAACAAAAUGGGACUUUUGACUUCUUCAUACUAUUAGACAUUUUCCUCUAUUAAGACAACAGCCAUCUGCUGGGGCAAUAAUUUUUGGUGGGGUAUGGUGGUGCACGCCUGUAAUCUUAGCACUUUAGGAGGGUAAGGCAGGCAGGAGUUUGACACCAGCCUGGCCAACGUGACAAAACCCUAUCCCUACUAAAAAUACAAAAAUUAGCUGGGUAUGGUGGUGUGUGCCUGUAAUCCUAGCUAUUUGAAAGACUGAGGCACAAGAAUUAUUUGAACUUGGGAGUGGGAGGUUGCAAGGAGCCGAAAUUGAGCCACUGCACUCCAGCCUGGGCAACAGAAUGAGACUCUAUCUAAAAAAUAAUAAAAUAAUAAUUAUUUCUCAUUCUACACCUGCAUUAUUGACCAUUUCAAUAUAUGUUUGUAAACUGAAUGUCUUCUCAGGCUUGAUAAUGAGUCAGACUCUUCUUCAAUAUAGAAAGAAAACUUCAGUAAAGAGAUCUGUUAUCAAAGUUGUCAUGCUCCUUAGAAAUGUAUGUUUGCUUCUUACACUAGGUUCUGAAUCCCCAUAUCCCACCACAGAGUGUGGACCUUACCCUGAUUCUUUUCCAGUGCCUGAUAUAUGAUGGUCACUCUAAAUGCUUCCUGUUUUAAUGAAUGAACAAACUAAAGUUGUGUCGUUACAUUGUCUUUCUUUUCAAAUCUUGAUGUAAAAUUCGAUCUGUGUUUGUCUGGCAGGAAAGUCUUCUUUAAUGUUGGAAUUCUUACAUAAGUUAUAGUAUAUUCCAUAUACUGUAUAAUAGUAUAUGUUACAUAUGAUUAUAACAACAUAUUAUUAUCAUAACAUAGUAAGCAGCAUUUCUUGCUGGGUGAAAAAUGUUUUAUAUAUACACACGUAUUUGAAUGUGUUUUGUUUGUUAUAGACUCUUAAUAUAUAAUACACUGUAUAACACACAUAUAUAUACAUAUAUAUAUAUGUAUAUAUAUAUGAAGAUUUUCUGUUACUCUAUCAUGGUCCCUAAAAAAUAAAUAGCUUUGUCUAGCCAUUGUUAGGAACUGGGAAGUAGACAGAAUUUCUCAUUGCUUUCAAUUGAUGAGACAGAUGUCCCAAAUAUUGUCUUUCCUGUCCGGGUAGAUGUAACACGUAAAUGUAUGCAUUUUAACACAAUAAAGAUGCUUCUCUAGACCCUUUUUCCUCAAAGUGUGGUCCAUGGACAUCAGCUGGGGGCUUGAUAGAAGGGUAGAAUUUUGCCCCUAUCCUAGACCUACUGAAUCAGAAUCCACAUUUUAAUAACAUUCUGGGCUAGAAGAACAUAGUUGCACCAAAGUCUGGAGGCCUCCGUGACUGCUCAACUAUACCUUGGGAGGUAGUCAAUGCUGAAGACCAGGAAGUCCCUACCACCUCUCCCAUGUCCUGCAUCUUUCUCCUUGAAUUUGUAAUAGAUGGGAGGCCAGCCAUUCCUAAACCCAUCCCCUUCUCUCAGCACUGUUGACUGGGGCAAAGUAUGUGCUUUAAAUGGAAUGGAUAAUAAAAUAUUGACCCUUCAUGAAUUUGUGAAAUGAUUUCAUCCUAUGUUUGUUUUCUGGGCCUGUGAGACUGGGCUCUCUUUCUUAGAAUAAAGUCACUAUUUAUCUUGCUCUAUGCUCAACCUUGCACAGACUGCUUAUGAACAUUUAGUUUUUAGUGUUUUCUAAAGAUGCUGAUGAUAAUGAUGAUGACAGUGAUAGUAAUGAUAUGCUAAGAGUGCUUCAAAUACCUCCUCCUAAUCAUUCUCAACAAUCUGCUUAGAAUUCUAAGUAACCAGUGAUUUUCAAACCAAGACCUGCAGAGGCCUAGGCACUGGAUCACUGCCAGAAGAGAGGAAGACAGGAGGCAGGAUGGCUGAGUGUCAUGGCUGACCCACAGGGAUUGAGGUUAAGAUCCAGAGGAUGGGGAGCACAAAUCUGAACAUUUUUACUUUCAUCUGCUGUUACAUAUUAAAACCUGGAA